UUGACCUCGGAUCAGGUAGGAAUACCCGCUGAACUUAAGCAUAUCAAAUAAGCGGAGGACCUGUGUGAAUG
RNAcentral lists this ribosomal RNA (71 nucleotides) under Gaeumannomyces wongoonoo. Its description in RNAcentral is "partial 28S ribosomal RNA". The record is from RNAcentral. Lineage: Eukaryota; Fungi; Ascomycota; Sordariomycetes; Magnaporthales; Magnaporthaceae.